This 504-nucleotide ribosomal RNA is filed under the name Shigella flexneri. RNAcentral's name for it is "bacterial SSU rRNA". It matches the Rfam family "Bacterial small subunit ribosomal RNA", at positions 35 to 526 of the family's 1533-position model. Lineage: Bacteria; Pseudomonadati; Pseudomonadota; Gammaproteobacteria; Enterobacterales; Enterobacteriaceae. The record is from RNAcentral.
AUAGCGUGCGGCAGGCCUAAACAUGCAAGUCGAACGGUAACAGGAAACAGCUUGCUGCUUCGCUGACGAGUGGCGGACGGGUGAGUAAUGUCUGGGAAACUGCCUGAUGGAGGGGGAUAACUACUGGAAACGGUAGCUAAUACCGCAUAACGUCGCAAGACCAAAGAGGGGGACCUUAGGGCCUCUUGCCAUCGGAUGUGCCCAGAUGGGAUUAGCUAGUAGGUGGGGUAACGGCUCACCUAGGCGACGAUCCCUAGCUGGUCUGAGAGGAUGACCAGCCACACUGGAACUGAGACACGGUCCAGACUCCUACGGGAGGCAGCAGUGGGGAAUAUUGCACAAUGGGCGCAAGCCUGAUGCAGCCAUGCCGCGUGUAUGAAGAAGGCCUUCGGGUUGUAAAGUACUUUCAGCGGGGAGGAAGGGAGUAAAGUUAAUACCUUUGCUCAUUGACGUUACCCGCAGAAGAAGCACCGGCUAACUCCGUGCCAGCAGCCGGAUAAAUAA